This 271-nucleotide ribosomal RNA is filed under the name uncultured prokaryote. Its description in RNAcentral is "partial 16S ribosomal RNA". It matches the Rfam family "Bacterial small subunit ribosomal RNA", at positions 524 to 794 of the family's 1533-position model. The record is from RNAcentral.
UACGGAGGAUCCGAGCGUUAUCCGGAUUUAUUGGGUUUAAAGGGUGCGCAGGCGGGGGAUUAAGUCGGCGGUGAAAUUUUGCAGCUCAACUGUAAAAGUGCCGUUGAUACUGGGGAGCUAGGAUUUGGUUGCUGUGGGUGGAAUGUGUGGUGUAGCGGUGAAAUGCUUAGAGAUCACGAGGAACUCCGAUUGCGCAGGCAGCUUACUAAACUACUACUGACGCUCAGGCACGAAGGCGUGGGGAUCAAACAGGAUUAGAUACCCGGGUAGU